Molecule: ribosomal RNA, 501 nt
Filed under: uncultured bacterium
Lineage: Bacteria
Description: bacterial SSU rRNA
Rfam family: Bacterial small subunit ribosomal RNA
Source: RNAcentral
AUGGCUCAGGAUGAACGCUGGCGGCGUGCUUAAUACAUGCAAGUCGAACGAAGUUAUCUCGCUGAGGCGAGCUUGCUCAAUCUUGAGAUAACUUAGUGGCGGACGGGUGAGUAACGCGUGGGUAACCUGCCUUACACAGGGGGAUAACAGUUAGAAAUGACUGCUAAUACCGCAUAAGCGCACAGUAUCGCAUGAUACAGUGUGAAAAACUCCGGUGGUGUAAGAUGGACCCGCGUCUGAUUAGCUAGUUGGUGAGGUAACGGCCCACCAAGGCGACGAUCAGUAGCCGGCCUGAGAGGGUGAACGGCCACAUUGGGACUGAGACACGGCCCAAACUCCUACGGGAGGCAGCAGUAGGGAAUAUUGGACAAUGGGGGAAACCCUGAUCCAGCCGACGCCGCGUGAGUGAAGAAGUAUUUCGGUACGUAAAGCUCUAUCAGCAGGGAAGAAAAUGACGGUACCUGACUAAGAAGCACCGGCUAAAUACGUGCCAGCAGCUGC